AGGUGCGAUCAUACCAGCACUAAUGCACCGGAUCCCAUCAGAACUCCGCAGUUAAGCGUGCUUGGGCGAGAGUAGUACUAGGAUGGGUGACCUCCGGGGAAGUCCUUGUGUUGCACCUCU
RNAcentral lists this ribosomal RNA (120 nucleotides) under Trifolium alexandrinum. The record is from RNAcentral. Lineage: Eukaryota; Viridiplantae; Streptophyta; Magnoliopsida; Fabales; Fabaceae.